Molecule: ribosomal RNA, 253 nt
Filed under: uncultured bacterium
Lineage: Bacteria
Description: partial 16S ribosomal RNA
Rfam family: Bacterial small subunit ribosomal RNA
Source: RNAcentral
UACAGAGGGUGCGAGCGUUGUUCGGAAUUAUUGGGCGUAAAGGGCGCGUAGGCGGUGCGGUAAGUCACCUGUGAAAUCUCCUGGCUCAACUGGGAGCUUGCAGGCGAAACUGCCGUGCUGGAGUGUGGGAGAGGUGCGUGGAAUUCCUGGUGUAGCGGUGAAAUGCGUAGAUAUCAGGAGGAACACCUGUGGCGAAAGCGGCGCACUGGACCGGAACUGACGCUGAGGCGCGAAAGCGUGGGGAGCAAACGGG